RNAcentral lists this ribosomal RNA (465 nucleotides) under uncultured bacterium. Its description in RNAcentral is "partial 16S ribosomal RNA". It matches the Rfam family "Bacterial small subunit ribosomal RNA", at positions 28 to 507 of the family's 1533-position model. The record is from RNAcentral.
GACGGACGCUGGCGGCGUGCUUAACACAUGCAAGUCGAACGGAAAGGCCCCAGCUUGCUGGGGUACUCGAGUGGCGAACGGGUGAGUAACACGUGGGUGAUCUGCCCUGCACUCUGGGAUAAGCCUGGGAAACUGGGUCUAAUACCGGAUAGGACCGUGCUUUAGUGUGUGCGGUGGAAAGUUUUUCGGUGCAGGAUGAGCCCGCGGCCUAUCAGCUUGUUGGUGGGGUAAUGGCCUACCAAGGCGGCGACGGGUAGCCGGCCUGAGAGGGUGUACGGCCACAUUGGGACUGAGACACGGCCCAGACUCCUACGGGAGGCAGCAGUGGGGAAUAUUGCACAAUGGGCGCAAGCCUGAUGCAGCGACGCCGCGUGGGGGAUGACGGCCUUCGGGUUGUAAACCCCUUUCGACAGGGACGAAGCUUUUGUGACGGUACCUGCAUAAGAAGCACCGGCUAACUACGUG